CAGAGGGUAGUUUAUAAAAAUAUUAGUUUUGGGGACUAAAGAUAGGGCGAUAGCUUUACCUCUGA
This 65-nucleotide transfer RNA is filed under the name Leucrocuta aphrodite. RNAcentral describes it as "tRNA-Pro". Lineage: Eukaryota; Metazoa; Arthropoda; Insecta; Ephemeroptera; Heptageniidae. The record is from RNAcentral.